RNAcentral lists this transfer RNA (64 nucleotides) under Anaulaciulus koreanus. RNAcentral describes it as "tRNA-Trp". Lineage: Eukaryota; Metazoa; Arthropoda; Diplopoda; Julida; Julidae. The record is from RNAcentral.
AAAAUCUUAGGUUAUAUAAACCUUCAACCUUCAAAGUUGUCAUAAAUUGUUAAAUUAGAUUUUA